GAUGAACGCUAGCGGCAGGCUUAACACAUGCAAGUCGAGGGGUAGAAGGAGCUUGCUCCUUUGAGACCGGCGCACGGGUGCGUAACGCGUAUGCAAUCUACCUUUUGCAGAGGGAUAGCCCAGAGAAAUUUGGAUUAAUACCUCAUAGUAUGUGAGGAUGGCAUCAUUUUCACAUUAAAGUCACAACGGCAAAAGAUGAGCAUGCGUCCCAUUAGCUAGUUGGUAAGGUAACGGCUUACCAAGGCUACGAUGGGUAGGAGUCCUGAGAGGGAGAUCCCCCACACUGGUACUGAGACACGGACCAGACUCCUACGGGAGGCAGCAGUGAGGAAUAUUGGACAAUGGGCGCAAGCCUGAUCCAGCCAUGCCGCGUGCAGGAUGACGGUCCUAUGGAUUGUAAACUGCUUUUAUACAGGAAGAAACACUCCGACGUGUCAGAGCUUGACGGUACUGUAAGAAUAAGGAUCGGCUAACUCCG
Molecule: ribosomal RNA, 478 nt
Filed under: uncultured bacterium
Lineage: Bacteria
Description: bacterial SSU rRNA
Rfam family: Bacterial small subunit ribosomal RNA
Source: RNAcentral